GGCUGGCGCCGCGCUGGGCGCCGCCCCCUCUCCCCCCUCCUCCCGCCGCCGCCUGUACGGAAACAAAAUGGCGGCGCCCGGCAGACGGCGGCGGCGACAAAAUGGCGGCCCCCAGCGGGCGGCGGGGAGCGCGGGGGAUUGUGGGAUAGCAAAGGGCCCCCCACGUGACCGCCAGUAACCCGGAAGAGGCGGGCCCGAAGCGGAAGUCCCGCCCCCCCCGCGUUUUUUGGGGCGAAAAAAGGGGGAAACGGAGCCCGAAAUGGAGGCCCCGACGGCGGGAUUUGGGGCAGAAAAGGGGGAAAUCGGGAACGGGGGGGAGGGGGAGGCCCCGCCCCCUGGAAUUGGGGCGAAAAGAGGCGGAAUGGGGAGGGAAGGGGAAGGGGAGGCCCCGCCCCUGCGAAAUGGGGGGAAAAAGGGGGAAAAAGGGAGCGAGGGGGAGGAGGAGGAGGAAGAGCAGGAGAGAGAGGAGGAGGUGACCCCCGAAAAUGAGGAGAAAAGGGGCGAAACGAGGAAGAAGAGUGAAAAAAACCAGCCCGUGAAAAAUGGGGGGAAAAGGGUGAAAAUGGAGAGUGAGGAAGAGGAGGAGGAGGACGAAGAUGAGGAGGAAGAUGAGGAGGAGGAAGAGGAGGAGAGGAAGAAGCCGCCCUCCAAAAAUGAGGAGAAAAGGGGCAAAAAGAGGAGUGAGAGCGAGAAAACCCAGGCUGUGAGAAAUGGGGCGAAAAGGGUGAAAAUAGAGAGUGAUGAAGACAAAGAUGAAGAGGAAGAAGAGGAGGAGGAUGAUGAGGACGAGGAUGAGGAGGAAGAGGAGGAGAAGAGGAAGAAGCCGCCCUCCAAAAAUGGGGUGAAAACGGGCAAAAAGAGGAGUGAGAAAAACCAGGCUGUGAGAAAUGGGGCGAAAAGGGUAAAAAUAGAGAGUGAUGAAGACAAAGAUGAAGAGGAAGAGGAGGAGGAUGAUGAGGACAAGGAUGAGGAGCAAGAGGAGGAGAAGAGGAAGAAGCCGCUCUCCAAAAAUGGGGUGAAAACGGGCAAAAAGAUGAGUGAGAGCGAGAAAAAACAGCCUGUGAGAAAUGGGGCGAAAAGGGUAAAAAUAGAGAGUGACGAAGAGGAAGAGGAAAACGAGGAGGAAGAAGAUGAUGAUGAGGAAGAGGAGGAGGAAGAGGAGAAGAGGAAGAAGCCACCCUCCAAAAAUGAGGAGAAAAGGGGCAAAAAGAGGAGUGAGAAAAACCAGGCUGUGAGAAAUGGGGCGAAAAGGGUGAAAAUGGAGAGUGAGGAAGAGGAGGAGGAAGAGGAGAAGAGGAAGAAGCCGCCCUCCCAAAAUGAGGAGAAAAGGGGCAAAAAGAUGAGUGAGAGUGAAAAAAAACAGCCUGUGAAAAAUGGGCGGAAAAGGGUCGAAACAGAGAGUGAGGAAGAGGAGGAGGAUGAUGAGGAGAAGAGGAAGAAGCCGCCCCCCAAAAAUGGGGUGAAAACGGGCAAAAAGAGGAGCGAGAGUGAGAAAAAACAGGCUGUGAGAAAUGGGCGGAAAAGGGUCGAAACGGAGAGUGAGGAAGAGGAGGAGGAGGAGGAGGAAGAAGAGGAAAAGAGGAAGAAACGGUCCCCUAAAAAUGGGGUGGAAACGGGCAAAAAGAGGAGUGAGAGCGAGAAGAAACAACCUGUGAAAAAUGGGGCCAAAGGAGUGAAAAUGGACAGCGAGGAAGAGGAUGAAGAAGAUGAAGAGGAGGAGGAGGAAGAAGAAGAGAAGAAGAAACCAACUUCCGAAAAUGAGGAGAAAAAGGGCAAAAAGAGGAGCGAGAAAAAAAUGGGUCUGAAAAACGGGCGGAAAAGAGGGAAAAUAGAGAGCGAGGAAGAGGAGGAGGAAGAGGAGGAGGAGGAAGAAGAGGAAGAAAAGAGGAAGAAGCCGCCCCCCAAAAACGAGGAGAAAAAGGGCAAAAAGAGGAAAGAGACUGAGAAAAAAACGGGUGUGAAAAAUGGGCGGAAAAGGGGGAAAACGGAGAGUGAGGAAGAGGAGGAAGAGGAGGAGGAAGAGCCCCCCCCCAGCGACUCGGACGAGGACCUCCCCCUAAAUGAGGAGAAAAAGGGCAAAAAGAGGAGCGAGAAAAAAAUGGGUCUGAAAAACGGGCGGAAAAGAGGGAAAAUAGAGAGCGAGGAAGAG
RNAcentral lists this long non-coding RNA (2149 nucleotides) under Calidris pugnax (ruff). Its description in RNAcentral is "lncRNA (ENSCPUG00000001025.1)". Lineage: Eukaryota; Metazoa; Chordata; Aves; Charadriiformes; Scolopacidae. The record is from RNAcentral.